CAGGCUGCGGCGGAGCGAGCGGGGCCAGCGCUGCAGAAGGCGGCGGCUCGAGCGCUGGAACGGUCACAUCCCGCUGCAGGCGCCGGCGGAGACGGCCGCACAGCCUCCCGCACCCGCACCCGCACCCAGGCCGGCGGGCAGGCGGUGCACCGCCCUUGCUCACGGACAGACUACGCCGCCGGUCCCAGCUCUGGGGGCCCUGCAACCAGCGCUCGCUACGCCUCCGCUCUCUGCCCGCAGCUCGGCCCCGUGCUACCCGCCUCGACGGGCCCGGGCCGGGAUGGGGUAGGGGCCGCACCGCCAACUCGGGCGAUGGGUCGCCCACUAGGCACCCCCCCGAGGCCUGACCGACCGCGAGGACCGGCGGAGGAGCCCCGCCUGGAUGUCUAGCGGAUGCCUCGGUGCCUCCUAGCGGACUCGGUGGGGACCAUGGCUUCGCUGAUGCCCCUCUCCCCUUAUCUAAGUCCCACGGUCCUCCUGCUGGUCAGCUGUGACCUGGGCUUUGUGCGAGCAGACCGGCCUCCAUCUCCUGUGAAUGUGACAGUCACUCACCUCAGAGCCAACUCGGCCACUGUGUCCUGGGACGUCCCAGAAGGCAACAUCGUCAUUGGCUACUCCAUUUCCCAGCAACGACAGAAUGGCCCAGGACAGCGGGUGAUCCGCGAGGUGAACACCACCACUCGGGCCUGUGCCCUCUGGGGCCUGGCCGAAGACAGCGACUACACCGUGCAGGUCAGAAGCAUCGGCCUUCGCGGGGAGAGCCCCCCGGGGCCCCGGGUGCACUUCCGAACUCUCAAGGGCUCUGACCGGCUGCCUUCAAACAGCUCGAGCCCAGGUGACAUCACAGUGGAGGGUCUGGAUGGAGAGCGACCACUGCAGACAGGGGAAGUGGUCAUCAUUGUGGUGGUGUUGCUCAUGUGGGCUGCUGUCAUAGGGCUGUUCUGCCGUCAGUACGAUAUCAUCAAGGACAACGACUCCAACAACAACCCCAAGGAGAAAGGGAAGGGGCCAGAGCAGAGUCCUCAGGGAAGGCCAGUGGGGACAAGACAGAAAAAGUCACCAUCCAUCAACACCAUAGACGUAUGAAGAAACAGAACCAGAAGAGAGAUGCACUAACAACCUGGGGAUGGGGAUGGGGUCAGGGAGAGCGUACGAUGGUGAUCAGCCCAAGAUGGAAGGAUCCCACAGUAUCCCAGAAGAUAAUGACACUCCCACAAUCUCAGGCCUGGUACCCAUCCUCUUUCCACUGUGAAUAGGGCCAGAAGGUUCUUGGACAAAAUGGAGCUGACUGUAUAGUAUGCUGAAGACGUUUCCCCAUCUUCUCUGACUACAAGGGCCCCUCACACUACCACCAACUUGAUGGGAGCAAACUCUCAUUUUAAAGUGUUUGCUUUGAUUCUCCAGCCUGGGAUGGGUGGAGAGGGGCCAGAAACGGGUAUAGGAAACCAGAGCCCUAGUUCCUUUUGCUUUGUUGGGCCAGAAAGGGGAGAAGGAAAGAAGAGGAUAUAAAUUCUUCCUGUACCAGUGGAAACUAAAGUUACAUCACAUGAGAGGGCUGGGAGCCUUGUCAUCAGCAGCUCAGCUCCUCACCAUUUAUUCCUGUGACUCCUCCAUCAAACCUGAGCUAGUUUUCAGAAAAGGACUGAAAAGUGUCUUGGGACAAAUGAAAGAGCAGCUACACUAAUGGAUCCCUCGGUGCUACGUGCUCCUCCUGUGUGUUCCUGUGCCUAUUCUUCCCUGUCCUUAAUUCCCCUUUUGUCUCUCUCUCUGUUCACUCAGUCACGUUCAAUAAUAACUGUAAAGCAUAAAUGACGUUACGUUCACUCUCUGCCACCAUAUCCAGAGGAGGAUUCUGGAAAUAAAGUUGAAGGGUUCAAACUCCCCUGUUAAAAGAACUAUAA
RNA transcript from Myotis myotis, 1901 nucleotides. It is a transcript of the gene named fibronectin type III domain containing 4, with no coding region annotated. NCBI's taxonomy places the organism in Eukaryota, Metazoa, Chordata, Mammalia, Chiroptera, Vespertilionidae. The record is from RefSeq and is a predicted model, not a curated record. The transcript is spliced from 8 exons.